CCCUUAGACGUUCAGGGCCGCACGCGCGCUACACUGACCAGUGCAACAAGCAUCCGUCCUUGGCCGACAGGCCCGGGCAAUCUUUGAACGCUGGUCGUGAUGGGGAUAGACUUUUGCAAUUUUUGGUCUUCAACGAGGAAUUCCUAGUAAACGCAAGUCAUCAACUUGCAUUGAUUACGUCCCUGCCCUUUGUACACACCGCCCGUCGCACCUACCGAUUGAAUGGUCCGGUGAAGCCUCCGGAUUGGCGCGCACCUCGGUGCCGCCGAGAAGUUGGCUAAACCUUACCAUUUAGAGGAAGGUGAAGUCGUAACA
This 315-nucleotide ribosomal RNA is filed under the name uncultured eukaryote. Its description in RNAcentral is "partial 18S ribosomal RNA". It matches the Rfam family "Eukaryotic small subunit ribosomal RNA", at positions 1470 to 1796 of the family's 1831-position model. The record is from RNAcentral.